UAUGAAUAAAUUCUCAUAUUA
This 21-nucleotide transfer RNA is filed under the name Placobdella montifera. RNAcentral describes it as "partial tRNA-Leu". The record is from RNAcentral. Lineage: Eukaryota; Metazoa; Annelida; Clitellata; Rhynchobdellida; Glossiphoniidae.